RNAcentral lists this ribosomal RNA (869 nucleotides) under uncultured bacterium. RNAcentral's name for it is "bacterial SSU rRNA". It matches the Rfam family "Bacterial small subunit ribosomal RNA", at positions 28 to 896 of the family's 1533-position model. The record is from RNAcentral.
GAUGAACGCUGGCGGCACGCCUAACACAUGCAAGUCGAACGGGGUUAAUCUGAAUGAAGUUUUCGGAUGGAAUUCGGAUUAACUUAGUGGCGGACGGGUGAGUAACACGUGAGCAAUCUGCCUUGUGGCGAGGGAUACCGUUUGGAAACGAACGUUAAUACCUCAUAAUAUAACGGAACCGCAUGAUUUUGUUAUCAAAGAUUUAUCGUCACAAGAUGAGCUCGCGUCUGAUUAGAUAGUUGGUGAGGUAACGGCCCACCAAGUCGACGAUCAGUAGCCGGACUGAGAGGUUGAACGGCCACAUUGGGACUGAGACACGGCCCAGACUCCUACGGGAGGCAGCAGUGGGGAAUAUUGCACAAUGGGCGAAAGCCUGAUGCAGCGAUGCCGCGUGAGGGAAGAAGGUUUUCGGAUUGUAAACCUCUGUCUUCAGGGACGAUAAUGACGGUACCUGAGGAGGAAGCUCCGGCUAACUACGUGCCAGCAGCCGCGGUAAUACGUAGGGAGCAAGCGUUAUCCGGAAUUACUGGGUGUAAAGGGAGUGUAGGCGGGAUUGUAAGUCAGAUGUGAAAAUUAUGGGCUCAACUCAUAACCUGCAUUUGAAACUGCGAUUCUUGAGUGAAGUAGAGGUAAGCGGAAUUCCAUGUGUAGCGGUGAAAUGCGUAGAUAUAUGGAGGAACAUCAGUGGCGAAGGCGGCUUACUGGGCUUUUACUGACGCUGAGGCUCGAAAGCGUGGGGAGCAAACAGGAUUAGAUACCCUGGUAGUCCACGCUGUAAACGAUGAUUACUAGGUGUGGGGGGACUGACCCCUUCCGUGCCGGAGUUAACACAAUAAGUAAUCCACCUGGGGAGUACGGUCGCAAGACUG